UGGCGUCGGGCGUCGGCGUCCAUCAACCUCUAGGCGCUGUGCUAGGCAGCCGAAGCGCAAUGGCGUUCGCGCGUGGAGAUGUUGGAGCGCCGGGGUUUCCCAUUCCCCUCCGCAACCAAAUCGAAGCAGAGCAGCAGCAGAGAAGAGGAGGCUCUACAUUGGAAGGCUCUCUGAAACUUGAUGAGGACAGGUCAGUGCUGCCAUUCAUGCGUAAUUGCAUUCAUUUAUUCUUAUGUCAGGGUAUAGACAUAAAAGACCUUACAGAUUAGAGAUCCUACACCAUGAAUUACAUGUCAAUAUAUAGUUUGAUCAGAUUUUGAGGGUACAGUUGGUUGUGAGCAUGCAAUGCUAUUACACAAUUCUGAAACCUGACAAAAUUCAAGUUGCACAUUCCACUAUCCCAGCAGCAGGAGGUCUCAUGAAAUUCAGACAAUUCAGAAUUUCUUCCACCUAAUGGCAGUUCAUGCAAAGAUGAUGGACAUGGACCGCAAGGGACAAACAUGUUGCCAUGAGUGCUCCCGUCUUUCACUAAACAGUGUAGGUGCACCUUGACACAAACCCGGCCUCUUUCUUUUCAGCUGAGAAGUGGAUGACUUUGUAUACGGGAGGAAGGCUUCGUAGUCGUAGCUAUGCUGGAACGUUCAUUCUUUGGCGCAGAAGCAGCAGGACCUGAAGAUGAGUAAGCCACACUUCCCCCUGAUGGUGCCCUCGCCCUCGCGCGAUGCAGUUCUCGUUGCAUGUAUGGCUACUGCACAGGAGCAGAAUCUGGUAUCUGUCGCUCAGCCACUUGUCACAUGCCGCGUUGGCCCCACAGCCUGAAAGGAAAGCAAAAAAGAGAAAGAAAGAAGAAGAAGUUACCAUCAGUAGUUGCAACUUAAUUUCAUUUGCUACCCAAAAAGAACCACAGACUAGCUUGCAAGCAAUUAAUCUUGUUCUUCUUUUAAGAAAUAAUUAAUCUUGUUCUUUGACAUUGAUGGGUAGAGCGUUCUGUGUAAUUGAGCUCUCUUUGUCUGCAGAUGGACUUACAUGGAGCCAAGAGUAGUGCCAUGAACAGCAGGCUGAGG
RNAcentral lists this long non-coding RNA (1064 nucleotides) under Setaria italica (foxtail millet). RNAcentral's name for it is "long non-coding RNA (SITA_LNC002648)". Lineage: Eukaryota; Viridiplantae; Streptophyta; Magnoliopsida; Poales; Poaceae. The record is from RNAcentral.